RNAcentral lists this long non-coding RNA (320 nucleotides) under Capsella rubella. Its description in RNAcentral is "long non-coding RNA (CRUB_LNC004161)". Lineage: Eukaryota; Viridiplantae; Streptophyta; Magnoliopsida; Brassicales; Brassicaceae. The record is from RNAcentral.
AGAAAGAAAAUGAUGUUCUCUUCGAUGUGAUCAACAUUCCUUUUUUGUUUAAUUUUAAUAAUUUAGCUGCUGGACCAAUAUAGGAUUUGGUAAUCAAAAUGAAGUUACUAUUUGAAAAUACUUGUAACGUGUGUGUUUAGAAAUGAUUUGUUUAGUUCUUGUGAUCAAAUUGUUACUUGUGUCAAAGGAUGUUAAAGAUGGUUUAUGAGUCCAGCCCGGUCUUGUUUCAUUAAAGCUCGAUCCUAAAUAACUCCUAACACUUUUGAAACCCUGAAAACUAAUAUAAUAGGGUUGAGUCCUAUAGUGAUCCUUCAUAAACC